Molecule: ribosomal RNA, 441 nt
Filed under: uncultured bacterium
Lineage: Bacteria
Description: bacterial SSU rRNA
Rfam family: Bacterial small subunit ribosomal RNA
Source: RNAcentral
AACGCGAAGAACCUUACCUACCCUUGACAUCCUAAGAAUUCUGCAGAGAUGCGGAAGUGCCGAAAGGAAUUUAGAGACAGGUGCUGCAUGGCUGUCGUCAGCUCGUGUUGUGAGAUGUUGGGUUAAGUCCCGUAACGAGCGCAACCCUUAUCCUUAGUUGCCAACAUGUAAUGGUGGGGACUCUAAGGAGACUGCUGGUGAAGAACCGGAGGAAGGCGGGGACGACGUCAAGUCAUCAUGGCCUUUAUGGGUAGGGCAACACACGUGCUACAAUGGGAUUUACAGAGGGAAGCCAACCUGCGAAGGGGAGCCAAUCUCAGAAAAGAUCUCGUAGUCCGGAUUGGAGUCUGCAACUCGACUCCAUGAAGUUGGAAUCGCUAGUAAUCGCGAAUCAGAACGUCGCGGUGAAUACGUUCCCGGGCCUUGUACACACCGAGUAUA